UGCGCAUGCGUCUCUGUUUUA
Molecule: unclassified non-coding RNA, 21 nt
Filed under: Mus musculus (house mouse)
Lineage: Eukaryota; Metazoa; Chordata; Mammalia; Rodentia; Muridae
Description: oocyte_clustered_small_RNA9932
Source: RNAcentral